Molecule: ribosomal RNA, 460 nt
Filed under: uncultured bacterium
Lineage: Bacteria
Description: partial 16S ribosomal RNA
Rfam family: Bacterial small subunit ribosomal RNA
Source: RNAcentral
CCUACGGGAGGCAGCAGUGAGGAAUAUUGGUCAAUGGCCGGAAGGCUGAACCAGCCAAGUCGCGUGAAGGAAGACGGAUCUAUGGUUUGUAAACUUCUUUUAUAGGGGAAUAAAGGUAUCCACGUGUGGAUAUUUGCAUGUACCCUAUGAAUAAGCAUCGGCUAACUCCGUGCCAGCAGCCGCGGUAAUACGGAGGAUGCGAGCGUUAUCCGGAUUUAUUGGGUUUAAAGGGUGCGUAGGUUGUUUGUUAAGUCAGCGGUGAAAGUUUGUGGCUCAACCAUAAAAUUGCCGUUGAAACUGGAGGACUUGAGUGUGGUUGAGGUAGGCGGAAUGCGUGGAGUAGCGGUGAAAUGCAUAGAUAUCACGCAGAACUCCGAUUGCGAAGGCAGCUUACUAAGCCAUAACUGACACUGAAGCACGAAAGCGUGGGUAGCAAACAGGAUUAGAUACCCCUGUAGUC